GAUUAUGAGUAAUUUUAUUAUUUUUCAAAUGAGACUGAACCGAGAUUAAUCAUUUUCUUUCCAGUGCUUAUUGUUAAGUAGUGUUUUGAUAGCCACAUGCCACAUACCACAUUGCAUGCCUGGUAUAUUUACAGUCAACAGAUUAUAUCAUUUCUUGGGACCAAAUAAAGUCCAAAUCAGAUUUUUUUUUUUUUGUCGCAGGAAUUUAUUAAAUGGGUCAAGCCCAAAUGGAACAAGGUCCGAACAUAACAUUACAAAGAAAAGCCAACAAAACGGGCCAAACUGAAUAGUACGACUAUGGACCAUAAGCCCAUAGAGGAAAACAAAACAGGUCCAAAGGAAGACGUGAUCGAUUCACAGCAGCUUCCACACAUGUUGAGCGCAUAACAAAGAUGAGAUACGUGUCCGGAAGUGGAAUCAUCACCUUACUUCAACAACCGGUAACCUGUCGCCGGAAUCUCUAAUCGAACUUCCACAGAAACCAACCGGAACAAGAAGGAGGAAGAUGAAGAGUAGCCGGCAAC
This 524-nucleotide long non-coding RNA is filed under the name Brassica napus (rape). RNAcentral describes it as "long non-coding RNA (BNAP_LNC022706)". Lineage: Eukaryota; Viridiplantae; Streptophyta; Magnoliopsida; Brassicales; Brassicaceae. The record is from RNAcentral.